GCUUGAUUGUGGUGAUUCUGUUGCCUAUGGCGACCAUUUUUGGCAACAUUUACUUUAACGAAAAAACAAAACACAGGCGUAAGAAGAGAGGGGAGGCUUGUGAUGAUGUUACCGUAAGAAGACCUCUGGCCGAUCCGCAGUACGAGAACGCAGCAUCUCCAAUGGAGCUGGAAUGAUGAGGGGAACGUUUGAAAUAAAGGACCACAAUAUGUAUUCAUUGGUUUUUAUAGAGAAUUGUUUUCCGGUCAGGGUGGAAAUAAUCAUCUG
This is a long non-coding RNA of Scomber japonicus (chub mackerel), 267 nucleotides long. RefSeq lists it as uncharacterized. Lineage: Eukaryota; Metazoa; Chordata; Actinopteri; Scombriformes; Scombridae. The record is from RefSeq and is a predicted model, not a curated record. The transcript is spliced from 3 exons.